Molecule: ribosomal RNA, 253 nt
Filed under: uncultured bacterium
Lineage: Bacteria
Description: partial 16S ribosomal RNA
Rfam family: Bacterial small subunit ribosomal RNA
Source: RNAcentral
UACGAAGGGUGCAAGCGUUACUCGGAAUUACUGGGCGUAAAGCGCACGUAGGCGGAUCAGUCAGUCAGGGGUGAAAUCCCGGGGCUCAACCCCGGAACUGCCUUUGAAACUGCUGGUCUGGAGGUCGAGAGAGGCGAGUGGAAUUCCGAGUGUAGAGGUGAAAUUCGUAGAUAUUCGGAGGAACACCAGUGGCGAAGGCGGCUCGCUGGCUCGAUACUGACGCUGAGGUGCGAAAGCGUGGGGAGCAAACAGG